UACAGAGGUCUCAAGCGUUGUUCGGAAUCACUGGGCUUAAAGCGUGUGUAGGUGGAUGUCUAAGUACCUUGUGAAAUCCCACGGCUUAACCGUGGAAUUGCUUGGUAUACUGGAUGUCUUGAGCUAGCUAGGGGCAACCGGAACAAAUGGUGGAGCGGUGAAAUGCGUAGAUAUCAUUUGGAACGCCAAUGGUGAAAACAGGUAGCUGGGGCUGUGCUGACACUGAGACACGAAAGCCAGGGGAGCAAACGGG
RNAcentral lists this ribosomal RNA (253 nucleotides) under uncultured bacterium. Its description in RNAcentral is "partial 16S ribosomal RNA". It matches the Rfam family "Bacterial small subunit ribosomal RNA", at positions 524 to 776 of the family's 1533-position model. The record is from RNAcentral.